CAUUGAAACACCGGUUCCCGCAUGAUCACCGACGUUAAGCAACGUCGAGCCUAGUCAGUACCUAGAUGGGUGACCUUUUGAGAAUACCAGGUGUUGUAAG
Molecule: ribosomal RNA, 100 nt
Filed under: Acanthosepion pharaonis
Lineage: Eukaryota; Metazoa; Mollusca; Cephalopoda; Sepiida; Sepiidae
Source: RNAcentral